Molecule: ribosomal RNA, 460 nt
Filed under: uncultured bacterium
Lineage: Bacteria
Description: partial 16S ribosomal RNA
Rfam family: Bacterial small subunit ribosomal RNA
Source: RNAcentral
CCUACGGGUGGCAGCAGUGAGGAAUAUUGGUCAAUGGGCGCGAGCCUGAACCAGCCAAGUAGCGUGAAGGAUGACUGCCCUACGGGUUGUCAACUUCUUUUAUAAAGGAAUAAAGUGAGGCACGUGUGCCUUCUUGUAUGUAUUUUAUGAAUAAGGAUCGGCUAACUCCGUGCCAGCAGCCGCGGUAAUACGGAGGAUCCGAGCGUUAUCCGGAUUUAUUGGGUUUAAAGGGAGAGUAGAUGGGUUGUUAAGUCAGUUGUGAAAGUUUGCGGCUCAAACGUAAAAUUGCAGUUGAUACUGGCAGCCUUGAGUACAGUAGAGGUAGGCGGAAUUCGUGGUGUAGCGGUGAAAUGCUUAGAUAUCACGAAGAACUCCGAUUGCGAAGGCAGCCUACUAAACUGCCACUGACAUUGAUGCUCGAAAGUGUGGGUAUCAAACAGGAUUAGAUACCCUUGUAGUC